ACAGGUUGUAUUUAGUAAGUAGU
Molecule: unclassified non-coding RNA, 23 nt
Filed under: Xenopus laevis (African clawed frog)
Lineage: Eukaryota; Metazoa; Chordata; Amphibia; Anura; Pipidae
Source: RNAcentral